UAUCCUACGGGGGGCAGCAGUGGGGAAUUUUGGACAAUGGGCGAAAGCCUGAUCCAGCAAUGCCGCGUGCAGGAUGAAGGCCUUCGGGUUGUAAACUGCUUUUGUACGGAACGAAAAAGCUUCUCCUAAUACGAGAGGCCCAUGACGGUACCGUAAGAAUAAGCACCGGCUAACUACGUGCCAGCAGCCGCGGUAAUACGUAGGGUGCGAGCGUUAAUCGGAAUUACUGGGCGUAAAGCGUGCGCAGGCGGUUAUGUAAGACAGAUGUGAAAUCCCCGGGCUCAACCUGGGAACUGCAUUUGUGACUGCAUGGCUAGAGUACGGUAGAGGGGGAUGGAAUUCCGCGUGUAGCAGUGAAAUGCGUAGAUAUGCGGAGGAACACCGAUGGCGAAGGCAAUCCCCUGGACCUGUACUGACGCUCAUGCACGAAAGCGUGGGGAGCAAACAGGAUUAGAUACCCCAGUAGUCAUC
This 471-nucleotide ribosomal RNA is filed under the name uncultured Delftia sp. Its description in RNAcentral is "bacterial SSU rRNA". It matches the Rfam family "Bacterial small subunit ribosomal RNA", at positions 335 to 798 of the family's 1533-position model. Lineage: Bacteria; Pseudomonadati; Pseudomonadota; Betaproteobacteria; Burkholderiales; Comamonadaceae. The record is from RNAcentral.